CAAAAUUGAAAAUGACUCUUUGUGAACAAAUUUUGAAAUUGCAUAAAAACUGAUAAUUUCAUUACAAAUUUUUGAAUCAAUACACUUGAACAUGAUACAACACCACCUAACUAAAAAAGAAAAAUAGCACAAUCACUACCUACAAAAAUAAUAUACAAAAAUGCCUCCGUACAAAAAUUUAAUCACCUCUUCCACAAAUAAUAUACAAAAAAAAAAAAAGAACAAUCAUUACCUAUAAAAAUUUGAGGAGACAAUCCAAAUUUUGAGUCGCAAAGCAUAAAAUCUGGAUGCGCACGAAUAACUUCACGCAGUUCAGGAACAAAAAGUUCCCUGUUGUCAUCUAGCAACCUGUUCAAUGCUUCAAGCACAUCAGAUGAAGCCAAGUUGAGCUCAUUGAGAACAAUCCAAUAACCAUUUCGAACAACCUUAACCAAGGCACCCUCAUGGAAAACGAGCUUUCCACUUGCAUCGGUAAUAUAAGAACCUAGGUACUCUUGUAGAUCAGUAUGUUCAUGAUUAUUUAUUUGUACAAAUUGAUGACCAGUUAUCGUAGCAAAAUACUUAACAAGGCUAGUCUUUCCACUAGACAUGGGUCCCUGUAGAAGGACUAGAUAUCUUCCAAUGAAAAUGGCACGAGCCACAUUUUCCAGAUGCUUCUCAACAUUACUUGUUAAAACAUACUCUUCAUCAGAUCCUUUUCUGUGAAUCUACUCCUUAACGAAAAUGCAUGGGCUAAAACUCUUGGACUCGCUGAUUUUGUGACCAAAUUAUGUCGUCUAGGCUUUAGACUUUACCCUUUUUAAUUUUAGCGGAUUUUAUUGUCUAGAUAAUUUAUAUUCACAUUUAGUUAAUUUCUCUAGAGUUUAUCUUUAUCUAGAAGAGUAAUUAUAGUUUGGCAUUUUCUUUAAAAGCUAGGAUUAAUUUAUUAAAAAAGAAAAAGCUAGGACGAAGGCUCACUGUUAUUUGAUUAUUUUUUGAUAAAUUUAAUAAAUUUGUGGAUGAUUUCCUAAUUUGUUCAACGAUAUUGGAGUUUUAUUUCUUAUUUCUCACCUUUUAUGACUGCGUCAGAAUCGCACCCCGCUUCGGUUCAAGUAGGGAAAUGUGAGGAAGAAGUUAAUAUACUUUUACCUUUUAAGUAAAAUACAAGAUUUAGUUAAAAAAUGUUCGAUGAAAAUUUAAGUAGAGACAAUAAUUAUUUUAACCACAUAUUUCAAGGGAUCUACUAUAACACCCCAAAAUCUAUUUCAUUUUUUAAUAAAAAUAGACUUGAAGUGUUACAAAAAUCUCAUUUUCCUAAUUUAAGUAAAAAUUUACUUUUAUUCAAAUUUUGAUAUUUGAUCAAUAAAUUGAGAGUGAUAAAUCAACGAUCUAAUUGAAAAUUUUCAUAUCAAAUAAGAUCUUAAAAUACUACAAUUUCGUACCAUUAAUUUAAAUUUAACAUAGAAUGUCAAAUGUUAAAACACUAAAAAAACUACUAAAUAACAUACACACAAUUUAACAUAAAGAUGUUCUUCAAAUAAAUAUUUUCAAUUAACAUUUCUAGAAAUUUUAUUUGGUAACCCCAUAAGCAUCACUCGUCAAUCUUCCACGCGUUCACACGACCUAUUUUAAUCUGAAAAGUUAUUGUAAGAAUAAGUAAUUUGAAAACACUUAGCAAAACUAUGCGCAAUUCUUAUUUAACAUGGUAUAAAUAUAAAAUGACAUAACAUAUCGACAUUUUUAGAUUUAGAGCAAACUGGUCGCGAUAACCAAUAGCUCAAAGAAUUUCUUAAGAAUUUCUAUAUCCCGUAGAAUUUACAUAUUUGACCCAAUGGUCUAUCCUGGAGAAUUUUACAUAGAAAUUGACCCGAAUGGCUUAUAGUAUUUUAUGCUAAAAUUUAUAUAAAUACCAAGAAAUGAGAAUUUAUCACUUUGCAUUAUGUAUUCUUACCUUAAUUGAUACUCAAAGAAAUCUGAAAAUGCAAUGAUGUUGUGUAAUUUUCUCAACAGUGUACGUGUGAAGUGAAAUUGCAAAGAAUGAAGUGGUGUAAAUUUUUAAAGUGAAAAUAUUAUCCUAGUUAUCUAUACAUAUAUAUAACAUCCAUUAACCACUCAAACAAAACGUUAAAACGUCUCAAGUCAUAAUUGUUAAAAGUUCAAAGGUUAAAUAAAUCAAUUUAUUGCCUCCAUCAAUCAAUCAUACAUCUAUGACUUAAAUGUAGAAUUUAACAUUUUCAUUAAUUAAUUUAUUAAUGAAAUUCAAAUUGAUAUUAACGUUUUUAUAUUUUAUAUAUUAACAAAAUAUUAAAAGAUAACCAUUUUCUUUCUAUUAGAAUAACUAGGACAUAACAAGUUAAACAAAAUAUUUUUUUGAGUUCAAUUUAUGUAAUUUAAUAUGAGCUUCAAAAUUAGUAUAAUUUUGAUAUAUUUUACCAACUUCUAUGAUAUUUAAAUAUUCAAUCCAAAUAAAAUUUACGAUAUAUAUAUAUGUAUGUAUGUAUGUAUGUAUGUAUAUACACACACACACACACAAAAGAAAAUAAAUCAUUUCUGCAAAUAGGUGGUUGAACUUAUCUAUUUAACUUAUUUUAGUGUGAUCACAAGGUUAGAUAUGAACUAUUUCUUUUGCUAAAUGAACAACAUUAAAUUAGGCCCAUAUGAAAAUAGUAAGUAAAAAUUUGAAAUAUUACAUGCCUUCCCCCUUAUUAUAAUUUCGUCCUUGAAAUUAUCGAGAUGGCAUUGUGUCCUUUUGUUGACUUUGGAAAACUUACAACAAAAUCCAUAGCUAUUUACCCCCAUUUUCACUCUGAAAUUUCUAAUGAAUUUAAUGGUCCUGAUGACAUUUAAUGUUCUAUUUUCACUUAUUGACAUACCAUACACUUUUAAAAAUAAAAAAAAAACCCUUUUAUAUUCCUCCAUCAAAAUAUAUCGUGAAGGUAUCGAUACAUUUUUAUACCAUCAGGAUGUGUAGCAUACGGGAUAGCGUGAGCUUUCUUUAAUAUAUCUUUCUUUGUCCAUUCAUCAGACAUAAUCUUCCCUCGAACAUCAAAGCAUUCACUACACCAAAAAAAGGCUUUUGCAGCCGCCAAAAACCGCUGCAAAAGACCUUUUGCAACGUUUUACUGCGUGUUGCGAAGACCGAUGUUGUCAUUGAGGGAAGACUUUUUGCAGCGUUUAUUCAACAUUGCAAAAGUCAGUUUUUUGCAACGUUAGAUAAACGUUGCAAAAGACUUUUUUUUUUUUUUAAACCAAUAUAUAUUAAUUGAUUUGCAAAAUUGAAAAUGACUCUUUGUGAACAAAUUUUGAAAUUGCAUAAAAACUGAUAAUUUCAUUACAAAUUUUUGAAUCAAUACACUUGAACAUGAUACAACACCACCUAACUAAAAAAGAAAAAUAGCACAAUCACUACCUACAAAAAUAAUAUACAAAAAUGCCUCCGUACAAAAAUUUAAUCACCUCUUCCACAAAUAAUAUACAAAAAAAAAAAAAAGAACAAUCAUUACCUAUAAAAAUUUGAGGAGACAAUCCAAAUUUUGAGUCGCAAAGCAUAAAAUCUGGAUGCGCACGAAUAACUUCACGCAGUUCAGGAACAAAAAGUUCCCUGUUGUCAUCUAGCAACCUGUUCAAUGCUUCAAGCACAUCAGAUGAAGCCAAGUUGAGCUCAUUGAGAACAAUCCAAUAACCAUUUCGAACAACCUUAACCAAGGCACCCUCAUGGAAAACGAGCUUUCCACUUGCAUCGGUAAUAUAAGAACCUAGGUACUCUUGUAGAUCAGUAUGUUCAUGAUUAUUUAUUUGUACAAAUUGAUGACCAGUUAUCGUAGCAAAAUACUUAACAAGGCUAGUCUUUCCACUAGACAUGGGUCCCUGUAGAAGGACUAGAUAUCUUCCAAUGAAAAUGGCAC
This 3884-nucleotide long non-coding RNA is filed under the name Olea europaea (common olive). Its description in RNAcentral is "long non-coding RNA (OEUR_LNC004404)". The record is from RNAcentral. Lineage: Eukaryota; Viridiplantae; Streptophyta; Magnoliopsida; Lamiales; Oleaceae.